AACGAACGCUGGCGGCAUGCCUAACACAUGCAAGUCGAACGAGACCUUCGGGUCUAGUGGCGCACGGGUGCGUAACGCGUGGGAACCUGCCCUUAGGUUCGGAAUAACUACCCGAAAGGGGUGCUAAUACCGGAUAAUGUCUUCGGACCAAAGAUUUAUCGCCUUUGGAUGGGCCCGCGUUGGAUUAGCUAGUUGGUAGGGUAAAAGCCUACCAAGGCGACGAUCCAUAGCUGGUCUGAGAGGAUGAUCAGCCACACUGGGACUGAGACACGGCCCAGACUCCUGCGGGAGGCAGCAGUGGGGAAUAUUGGACAAUGGGGGAAGGCCUGAUCCAGCUAUGCCGCGUGAGUGAUGAAGGCCUUAGGGUUGUAAAGCUCUUUUACCCGGGAUGAUAAUGACAGUACCGGGAGAAUAAGCUCCGGCUAACUCCGUG
RNAcentral lists this ribosomal RNA (433 nucleotides) under uncultured bacterium. Its description in RNAcentral is "partial 16S ribosomal RNA". It matches the Rfam family "Bacterial small subunit ribosomal RNA", at positions 29 to 507 of the family's 1533-position model. The record is from RNAcentral.